CCUACGGGGGGCUGCAGUGGGGAAUCUUGCACAAUGGGGGAAACCCUGAUGCAGCGACGCCGCGUGAGCGAUGAAGUCCUUCGGGAUGUAAAGCUCUUUCGACAGGAACGAUUAUGACGGUACCUGGAGAAGAAGCUGCGGCUAACUACGUGCCAGCAGCCGCGGUGAUACGUAGGCAGCAAGCGUUGUUCGGAAUUACUGGGCGUAAAGAGUGUGUAGGCGGUUGGGUAAGUUUGGUGUGAAAUCUCCCGGCUUAACUGGGAGGGUGCGCCGAAAACUGCCUGGCUAGAGUGCCGGAGAGGAAAGCGGAAUUCCUGGUGUAGCGGUGAAAUGCGUAGAUAUCAGGAGGAACACCGGUGGUGUAGACGGCUUUCUGGACGGCCACUGACGCUGAGACACGAAAGCGUGGGUAGCAAACAGGAUUAGAUACCCGGGUAGUC
RNAcentral lists this ribosomal RNA (440 nucleotides) under uncultured bacterium. RNAcentral's name for it is "partial 16S ribosomal RNA". It matches the Rfam family "Bacterial small subunit ribosomal RNA", at positions 338 to 795 of the family's 1533-position model. The record is from RNAcentral.